This 468-nucleotide ribosomal RNA is filed under the name uncultured bacterium. Its description in RNAcentral is "partial 16S ribosomal RNA". It matches the Rfam family "Bacterial small subunit ribosomal RNA", at positions 28 to 507 of the family's 1533-position model. The record is from RNAcentral.
GACGAACGCUGGCGGCGUGCUUAACACAUGCAAGUCGAACGGAAAGGCCCUGCUUUUGUGGGGUGCUCGAGUGGCGAACGGGUGAGUAACACGUGAGUAACCUGCCCUUGACUUUGGGAUAACUUCAGGAAACUGGGGCUAAUACCGGAUAGGAGCUCCUGCUGCAUGGUGGGGGUUGGAAAGUUUCGGCGGUUGGGGAUGGACUCGCGGCUUAUCAGCUUGUUGGUGGGGUAGUGGCUUACCAAGGCUUUGACGGGUAGCCGGCCUGAGAGGGUGACCGGCCACAUUGGUACUGAGGUACGGCCCAGACGCCUACGGGAGGCAGCAGUGGGGAAUAUUGCACAAUGGGCGGAAGCCUGAUGCAGCAACGCCGCGUGCGGGAUGACGGCCUUCUGGUUGUAAACCGCUUUCGCCUGUGACGAAGCGUGAGUGACGGUAAUGGGUAAAGAAGCACCGGCUAACUACGUG